UUGUUAUUAAGCCCGGUCAGCGCUGGACGCGCUCGCCCGGUGGCGGCGGAGGACCUACGGAGGGGCACCGUCACUCCCGCGGAGGCGCUCCCGCCGCGCUCGGCCCGGCGCCGCUUGCACGGCCCCACAGCUCCCACUAGCGGCCGGCGGCGGCCCCUCGGCUGCGCCCCUCGGCCGUGCCCGGGCCGCGAGCCCACGCGGUUCCCCCCGAAAGGAGCCGCGAACUGCGGGCGGGGGUCUCGCUGCCGGGCUGGAAGCGAACGUUUCCUCGUCCAGAGCCGCGCGGCGGUGAAUAGGCGCUGCUGUAGCAGGAGGAAUUGCAGAGCCGGAGACGCGCUUUGGUGGGAAAAGGAUUCCUCGCCAGGACGGGGGCUUAGCGCCAGAGUGGAAGGCACAGAUUGCGCGUCGGGGGCCGCCGCGGAGCGAAGCGCUUCGUUAUCCGGCUGUGAACAAACGCGCGGCGCGGAGCCCGGCGGGAGCCAAGGCAUGCAGUCACUCCGCCUUGUGAAGCUUAUAGGACACCAGCUCUCCAGUACAUUUCACAGCAUUCGGCCUUCUCCGUUUUUGGAAAAAUAACGAUGAAUGAACAUGGGAAGCCCAACGGGCAGUUUAAUUUCCAAAGCAACUUCUUUCUGUUAUGAAACAGAGCACAGACUAAGAUACCGCUGCCAUGUCUUCUGCUCUUUCCUGAAUCUGCCAGAAGGAUACAUUGCCUGGUACUAGAAUAAUCCUACGGGACAUUUAUGAUCACGGCUAAGAAAAAGGAAGAUCUCCUAUGGAAUCAAGUAUGGAAAAUGAACACCGCUCAAGGCAGGUGGCAACGAAAAAAAUGGCUUACUUGCCUCCCUGGGGAUGAGGGAAAGAAAAAUGGAACAGAACAAAGCUGUGCAAGUAACCAAAAAAUGGAAGUUUAAACUCCAAACUGUAAUAUAAUAAAAAAUAAUCACCGGACA
This 953-nucleotide long non-coding RNA is filed under the name Numida meleagris (helmeted guineafowl). RNAcentral describes it as "lncRNA (ENSNMEG00000018640.1)". The record is from RNAcentral. Lineage: Eukaryota; Metazoa; Chordata; Aves; Galliformes; Numididae.